UUUCAACAGAAGGCAGAGUGUGGCCUAUGUGUCUCCAUUUAAAACGGCAAGGCAGUUCUGCAGCAGCUGGAGGUUGCCCUGGAAGGGAGGAACAAACCGACCAUCAAUUUCUUUAGUCCCAGCAGCUUGAGAGUCGUGGGUUUCCCUCUGUCACCUUGGCUGUCCUGGAACUCAAUCUGCAGAGCAAGCUGGCCUUGAACUCAGAGAUGCACCUGCCUCCUCAGGGCUGGGAUUAGAGGAAGGUGUGUGACAUCAUGCUGGCCCUGAGAAAGUAACUCACUGAAAUUCUGAAAGCGGGGGACAGAUGCUUGAAAACUAAAGAGAAGAGUAAGGGAAGUGCACAAAAGGAGAAGGGCCGGAGAAGAGAAACGAG
This is a non-coding RNA of Peromyscus maniculatus bairdii (prairie deer mouse), 373 nucleotides long. The record is from RefSeq and is a predicted model, not a curated record. Lineage: Eukaryota; Metazoa; Chordata; Mammalia; Rodentia; Cricetidae.